UCUUUGUUCAGGAAGUUUCCAU
Molecule: non-coding RNA, 22 nt
Filed under: Arabidopsis thaliana (thale cress)
Lineage: Eukaryota; Viridiplantae; Streptophyta; Magnoliopsida; Brassicales; Brassicaceae
Source: RNAcentral